AUUGAACGCUGGCGGCAUGCCUUACACAUGCAAGUCGAACGGCAGCACGGGAGCAAUCCUGGUGGCGAGUGGCGAACGGGUGAGUAAUAUAUCGGAACGUGCCCAGUCGUGGGGAUAACGUAGCGAAAGCUACGCUAAUACCGCAUACGAUCUAUGGAUGAAAGCGGGGGAUCGCAAGACCUCGCGCGAUUGGAGCGGCCGAUAUCAGAUUAGGUAGUUGGUGAGGUAAAGGCUCACCAAGCCGACGAUCUGUAGCUGGUCUGAGAGGACGACCAGCCACACUGGGACUGAGACACGGCCCAGACUCCCUACGGGAGGCAGCAGUGGGAAUUUUUGGACAAUGGGCGCAAGCCUGAUCCAGCAAUGCCGCGUGCAGGAUGAAGGCCUUCGGGUU
RNAcentral lists this ribosomal RNA (394 nucleotides) under uncultured bacterium. RNAcentral's name for it is "bacterial SSU rRNA". It matches the Rfam family "Bacterial small subunit ribosomal RNA", at positions 30 to 424 of the family's 1533-position model. The record is from RNAcentral.